RNAcentral lists this ribosomal RNA (442 nucleotides) under uncultured bacterium. RNAcentral's name for it is "partial 16S ribosomal RNA". It matches the Rfam family "Bacterial small subunit ribosomal RNA", at positions 338 to 795 of the family's 1533-position model. The record is from RNAcentral.
CCUACGGGAGGCAGCAGUAGGGAAUCUUUCACAAUGGGCGAAAGCCUGAUGGAGCAACGCCGCGUGCAGGAUGAAGGCCUUCGGGUUGUAAACUGCUUUUAUAAGCGAGAAAUAUGAUGGUAACUUAUGAAUAAGGAUCGGCUAACUACGUGCCAGCAGCCGCGGUCAUACGUAGGAUCCGAGCAUUAUCCGGGGUGACUGGGUGUAAAGAGUUGCGUAGGUGGCAUAAUAAGUAGCUAGUGAAAUCUGGUGGCUCAAACAUUCAGACUAUUAGCUAAACUGUUAAGCUCGAGACCGUUAGGGGUAACGGGAAUUUCUAGUGUAGGAGUGAAAUCCGUAGAUAUUAGAAGGAACACCAAUAGCGUAGGCAGGUUGCUGGGACGGUUCUGACACUAAGGCACGAAAGCGUAGGGAGCAAACGGGAUUAGAUACCCGAGUAGUC